CUCGAAUGGAUGCGCUGUGCAUCUGCUCCCGUAUUCGAGGUCUUGUGUGUCAAAGGGUUG
Molecule: small nucleolar RNA, 60 nt
Filed under: Leishmania infantum JPCM5
Lineage: Eukaryota; Euglenozoa; Kinetoplastea; Trypanosomatida; Trypanosomatidae
Source: RNAcentral